UUAAUUCAUUCUCUCCAAUCCAAAUGAAAACAAUGAAAAGAAAUGCAUAGCGUGGCCCACCUACUGGGCGUGACUCUCUUCUUUCCCAUUCUCAUCUAUUCUUUUAAAGCAAGUAAAAUAUCAAGAUGAAAUUUAAUCAUCUUUGGACCGUGGCUGUCACCAAUCAAUGAAGCCAUCACUUCUUCAUUCUAAGGAAAAUAAAGGCAAAGAACCUAGCCAAUAUUCACCUACCAACAUCCAA
Molecule: long non-coding RNA, 241 nt
Filed under: Vigna radiata
Lineage: Eukaryota; Viridiplantae; Streptophyta; Magnoliopsida; Fabales; Fabaceae
Description: long non-coding RNA (VRAD_LNC013463)
Source: RNAcentral